GCACUCCUUCGGGGCAGGGUGAGAUUCCCUACCGGCGGUAUAGUCCGUGAACCAAUUAAGUUUGGUUGAUCCGGUGAAAUUCCGGUACCGACAGUUAUAGUCUGGAUGGGAGAAGGGGCUU
Molecule: non-coding RNA, 121 nt
Filed under: Desulfobacter sp.
Lineage: Bacteria; Pseudomonadati; Thermodesulfobacteriota; Desulfobacteria; Desulfobacterales; Desulfobacteraceae
Description: Desulfitibacter sp. FMN sequence
Rfam family: FMN riboswitch aptamer (RFN element)
About the family: The RFN element is a highly conserved domain that is found frequently in the 5'-untranslated regions of prokaryotic mRNAs that encode for flavin mononucleotide (FMN) biosynthesis and transport proteins. This element is a metabolite-dependent riboswitch that directly binds FMN in the absence of proteins. In Bacillus subtilis, the riboswitch most likely controls gene expression by causing premature transcription termination within the 5' untranslated region of the ribDEAHT operon and precluding access to the ribosome-binding site of ypaA mRNA.
Source: RNAcentral